AACGAACGCUGGCGGCAGGCUUAACACAUGCAAGUCGAACGCCCCGCAAGGGGAGUGGCAGACGGGUGAGUAACGCGUGGGAACAUACCCUUUUCUACGGAAUAGCUCUGGGAAACUGGAAUUAAUACCGUAUACGCCCUACGGGGGAAAGAUUUAUCGGGGAAGGAUUGGCCCGCGUUGGAUUAGCUAGUUGGUGGGGUAAAGGCCUACCAAGGCGACGAUCCAUAGCUGGUCUGAGAGGAUGAUCAGCCACAUUGGGACUGAGACACGGCCCAAACUCCUACGGGAGGCAGCAGUGGGGAAUAUUAGACAAUGGGCGCAAGACUGAUCCAGCCAUGCCGCGUGAGUGAUGAAGGCCUUAGGGUUGUAAAGCUCUUUCACCGAUGAAGAUAAUGACGGUAGUCGGAGAAGAAGCCCCGGCUAACUUCGUG
Molecule: ribosomal RNA, 431 nt
Filed under: uncultured bacterium
Lineage: Bacteria
Description: partial 16S ribosomal RNA
Rfam family: Bacterial small subunit ribosomal RNA
Source: RNAcentral